RNAcentral lists this ribosomal RNA (475 nucleotides) under uncultured organism. RNAcentral describes it as "partial 16S ribosomal RNA". It matches the Rfam family "Bacterial small subunit ribosomal RNA", at positions 331 to 797 of the family's 1533-position model. The record is from RNAcentral.
GUACACUCCUACGGGAGGCAGCAGUGGGGAAUUUUGGACAAUGGGCGAAAGCCUGAUCCAGCAAUGCCGCGUGAGUGAAGAAGGCCUUCGGGUUGUAAAGCUCUUUUGUCAGGGAAGAAACGGUGAGAGCUAAUAUCUCUUGCUAAUGACGGUACCUGAAGAAUAAGCACCGGCUAACUACGUGCCAGCAGCCGCGGUAAUACGUAGGGUGCAAGCGUUAAUCGGAAUUACUGGGCGUAAAGCGUGCGCAGGCGGUUUUGUAAGUCUGAUGUGAAAUCCCCGGGCUCAACCUGGGAAUUGCAUUGGAGACUGCAAGGCUAGAAUCUGGCAGAGGGGGGUAGAAUUCCACGUGUAGCAGUGAAAUGCGUAGAUAUGUGGAGGAACACCGAUGGCGAAGGCAGCCCCCUGGGUCAAGAUUGACGCUCAUGCACGAAAGCGUGGGGAGCAAACAGGAUUAGAUACCCCUGUAGUCCCA